CUAUGUGUUGUUGGGUAGGGGAGCGUUCUGUAAGCCUGUGAAGGUGGCCUGUGAGGGUUGCUGGAGGUAUCAGAAGUGCGAAUGCUGACAUAAGUAACGAUAAAGCGGGUGAAAAGCCCGCUCGCCGGAAGACCAAGGGUUCCUGUCCAACGUUAAUCGGGGCAGGGUGAGUCGACCCCUAAGGCGAGGCCGAAAGGCGUAGUCGAUGGGAAACAGGUUAAUAUUCCUGUACUUGGUGUUACUGCGAAGGGGGGACGGAGAAGGCUAUGUUGGCCGGGCGACGGUUGUCCCGGUUUAAGCGUGUAGGCUGGUUUUCCAGGCAAAUCCGGAAAACCAAGGCUGAGGCGUGAUGACGAGGCACUACGGUGCUGAAGUGACAAAUGCCCUGCUUCCAGGAAAAGCCUCUAAGCAUCAGGUAACAUCAAAUCGUACCCCAAACCGACACAGGUGGUCAGGUAGAGAAUACCAAGGCGCUUGAGAGAACUCGGGUGAAGGAACUAGGCAAAAUGGUGCCGUAACUUCGGGAGAAGGCACGCUGAUAUGUAGGUGAAGCGACUUGCUCGUGGAGCUGAAAUCAGUCGAAGAUACCAGCUGGCUGCAACUGUUUAUUAAAAACACAGCACUGUGCAAACACGAAAGUGGACGUAUACGGUGUGACGCCUGCCCGGUGCCGGAAGGUUAAUUGAUGGGGUUAGCGGUAACGCGAAGCUCUUGAUCGAAGCCCCGGUAAACGGCGGCCGUAACUAUAACGGUCCUAAGGUAGCGAAAUUCCUUGUCGGGUAAGUUCCGACCUGCACGAAUGGCGUAAUGAUGGCCAGGCUGUCUCCACCCGAGACUCAGUGAAAUUGAACUCGCUGUGAAGAUGCAGUGUACCCGCGGCAAGACGGAAAGACCCCGUGAACCUUUACUAUAGCUUGACACUGAACAUUGAGCCUUGAUGUGUAGGAUAGGUGGGAGGCUUUGAAGUGUGGACGCCAGUCUGCAUGGAGCCGACCUUGAAAUACCACCCUUUAAUGUUUGAUGUUCUAACGUUGGCCCCUAAUCGGGGUUGCGGACAGUGUCUGGUGGGUAGUUUGACUGGGGCGGUCUCCUCCUAAAGAGUAACGGAGGAGCACGAAGGUUGGCUAAUCCUGGUCGGACAUCAGGAGGUUAGUGCAAUGGCAUAAGCCAGCUUGACUGCGAGCGUGACGGCGCGAGCAGGUGCGAAAGCAGGUCAUAGUGAUCCGGUGGUUCUGAAUGGAAGGGCCAUCGCUCAACGGAUAAAAGGUACUCCGGGGAUAACAGGCUGAUACCGCCCAAGAGUUCAUAUCGACGGCGGUGUUUGGCACCUCGAUGUCGGCUCAUCACAUCCUGGGGCUGAAGUAGGUCCCAAGGGUAUGGCUGUUCGCCAUUUAAAGUGGUACGCGAGCUGGGUUUAGAACGUCGUGAGACAGUUCGGUCCCUAUCUGCCGUGGGCGCUGGAGAACUGAGGGGGGCUGCUCCUAGUACGAGAGGACCGGAGUGGACGCAUCACUGGUGUUCGGGUUGUCAUGCCAAUGGCACUGCCCGGUAGCUAAAUGCGGAAGAGAUAAGUGCUGAAAGCAUCUAAGCACGAAACUUGCCCCGAGAUGAGUUCUCCCUGAGACUUAGAGUCUCCUGAAGGAACGUUGAAGACGACGACGUUGAUAGGCCGGGUGUGUAAGCGCAGCGAUGCGUUGAGCUAACCGGUACUAAUGAACCGUGAGGCUUAACCUUACAACGCCGAAG
RNAcentral lists this ribosomal RNA (1746 nucleotides) under Escherichia coli. RNAcentral's name for it is "partial 23S ribosomal RNA". It matches the Rfam family "Bacterial large subunit ribosomal RNA", at positions 1214 to 2925 of the family's 2925-position model. Lineage: Bacteria; Pseudomonadati; Pseudomonadota; Gammaproteobacteria; Enterobacterales; Enterobacteriaceae. The record is from RNAcentral.